Small nucleolar RNA from Python bivittatus (Burmese python), 130 nucleotides. RefSeq annotates it as small nucleolar RNA ACA64. Lineage: Eukaryota; Metazoa; Chordata; Lepidosauria; Squamata; Pythonidae. The record is from RefSeq and is a predicted model, not a curated record.
ACUGUCUGAAAAUAGUCUUUGGCUUCCUUCAUGGCCUUGGAUGAGAUAACUGUGCCCAUAGCAAGAGGGAGCAUUAAGCUUAUUGCCUUAAGUAUGGUCCUUAGGUGAUAAAACCCAGGCUCCUAUAUCU